Molecule: ribosomal RNA, 708 nt
Filed under: uncultured bacterium
Lineage: Bacteria
Description: bacterial SSU rRNA
Rfam family: Bacterial small subunit ribosomal RNA
Source: RNAcentral
CGCCGCGUGGGGGAUGACGGCCUUCGGGUUGUAAACCUCUUUCAGCAGGGACGAAGCGCAAGUGACGGUACCUGCAGAAGAAGCACCGGCCAACUACGUGCCAGCAGCCGCGGUAAUACGUAGGGUGCAAGCGUUGUCCGGAAUUAUUGGGCGUAAAGAGCUCGUAGGCGGUCUGUCGCGUCGGCUGUGAAAACCCGGAGCUCAACUCCGGGCCUGCAGUCGAUACGGGCAGACUGGAGUUCGGCAGGGGAGACUGGAAUUCCUGGUGUAGCGGUGAAAUGCGCAGAUAUCAGGAGGAACACCGGUGGCGAAGGCGGGUCUCUGGGCCGAUACUGACGCUGAGGAGCGAAAGCGUGGGGAGCGAACAGGAUUAGAUACCCUAGUAGUCCACGCCGUAAACGUUGGGCGCUAGGUGUGGGGGCCAUUCUACGGUUUCCGUGCCGCAGCUAACGCAUUAAGCGCCCCGCCUGGGGAGUACGGCCGCAAGGCUAAAACUCAAAGGAAUUGACGGGGGCCCGCACAAGCGGCGGAGCAUGUUGCUUAAUUCGAUGCAACGCGAAGAACCUUACCUAGGCUUGACAUGCACGGAAAUCUCGCAGAGAUGCGGGGUCCGUAAGGGUCGUGCACAGGUGGUGCAUGGUUGUCGUCAGCUCGUGUCGUGAGAUGUUGGGUUAAGUCCCGCAACGAGCGCAACCCUCGUUCCAUGUU